UCAAGAGAAUCCGGCAGCAAGCGUCCGUUGCUGCCCGCCGAUUCUUCCCGCUGUUCAUGAUUUGCGGAUACAACUGAUAGCUGGGUCCUGCGCAACGGAAGGUUAUGAACCCCGUCAGGUCCGGAAGGAAGCAGCGGCAGUAACCGACUCCGUGUGCCGCGGGGGUGCCCAGCUAUCAGUUGUAUCCGUUAAUUCCGCACUCCUCA
This 206-nucleotide unclassified non-coding RNA is filed under the name Geobacter sp. DSM 9736. RNAcentral describes it as "Bacterial large signal recognition particle RNA". The stretch from base 79 to 177 matches the Rfam family "Bacterial small signal recognition particle RNA". Lineage: Bacteria; Pseudomonadati; Thermodesulfobacteriota; Desulfuromonadia; Geobacterales; Geobacteraceae. The record is from RNAcentral.